This 266-nucleotide ribosomal RNA is filed under the name uncultured Staphylococcus sp. RNAcentral describes it as "partial 16S ribosomal RNA". It matches the Rfam family "Bacterial small subunit ribosomal RNA", at positions 96 to 354 of the family's 1533-position model. Lineage: Bacteria; Bacillati; Bacillota; Bacilli; Caryophanales; Staphylococcaceae. The record is from RNAcentral.
CGGCGGACGGGUGAGUAACACGUGGGUAACCUACCUAUAAGACUGGGACAACUUCGGGAAACCGGAGCUAAUACCGGAUAAGAUAUCGAACCGCAUGGUUCGAUAGUGAAAGAUGGUUUUGCUAUCACUUAUAGAUGGACCCGCGCCGUAUUGGCUAGUUGGUGAGGUAACGGCUCACCAAGGCAACGAUACGUAGCCGACCUGAGAGGGUGAUCGGCCACACUGGAACUGAGACACGGUCCAGACUCCUACGGGAGGCAGCAGGC